This 514-nucleotide unclassified non-coding RNA is filed under the name Hevea brasiliensis (rubber tree). The record is from RNAcentral. Lineage: Eukaryota; Viridiplantae; Streptophyta; Magnoliopsida; Malpighiales; Euphorbiaceae.
ACAGCUUGAUAUUCUUCAUUUACCCAAAAUUCAAAUUUGAACAGAUCAUGGGAUGAGCAUAAGUGAUAUCUCAAACCCUUAAAACUGACACAUUUUACCAAGCAAAAAGGACAGGUGAAGUCCUCUGUCACUUCUGUCCUCUGCAACUUAUUGUUAUAGUACAUAUAGUUGAAAACAACAUUUCCUGUCCUUAACCGUAUUAUUCGAGCCAAUGAAGUUGAAGGAAUGUCAUCAUAGGAGAAUGAAUCAUAUCGUGUUCUUUCUCUUGCAAAAGCUUCUUCCGAAGCAAUUUUAACUUGUAAUUGUUGUAUUGUCGCCAGAGCCGCAGAACUGCGGGGAUACUCAAAGCUAAUGUGUCUGUCUUUGUCCAAAGAGCUUGUCUUCAUGAAACAAGGGUUCAAGUCAACAGUCGACCACAUCUCAGCUCUCUCCCCUAAACUCAAAUUGGGAGACUUGUCCCACAACAAAUGAAGUAAUUCCAUCGGCAUUCUGCCCAACAAGCAGUGCCCUUCAA